CAUCAGACCCUACCUAUCAAUGGAAGAGGGCAACAUGGGUGUUCCCUAGCGGCUCAUUACAGCAACUCCUCUCUCAGCUCAGGCAGUGCGCAGUGUAACAGGACAUGAGCAAUUGGGCUCCCUACAGAAUCAGAAUUGCCAGUGCCACUGCUGCUCUGGCUUCUCUCAACUUGGCCAUUGGGAGAUAUUUUGACUUGUUCACGUUUGAAAAGUAGAAAGGGAAUGGCAAGUAUUAAAAAGACAGUGGGAAGCUGCGGAUGUUGAGUUAUUCCACUUUUUUUUCUUUGUUUUUUUUCCUUCUCUCUUGAGGAACUGUGAUGAUUCUUUUUAAUCUGAACCCUCCAAGAAAAUUAGAAGGCCAAGUACACGAUUAUAGUUUUUAAUUUUUUUUAGAUAAGCUAAGCUUGUUUGCCUAUCCAGGUCAAACAAUCUGGCUUUUUUGUUUUGUUUAAUUUAGAUCUAAAUUAAUUUAAAUAGAUUAAUUAAAAAUAUGUUUGGGAUGCC
Populus trichocarpa (black cottonwood) is the source of this 504-nucleotide long non-coding RNA. RefSeq lists it as uncharacterized. The record is from RefSeq and is a predicted model, not a curated record. The transcript has 2 exons. NCBI's taxonomy places the organism in Eukaryota, Viridiplantae, Streptophyta, Magnoliopsida, Malpighiales, Salicaceae.